This is a long non-coding RNA of Musa acuminata AAA Group (dessert banana), 4483 nucleotides long. RefSeq lists it as uncharacterized. The transcript is spliced from 3 exons. NCBI's taxonomy places the organism in Eukaryota, Viridiplantae, Streptophyta, Magnoliopsida, Zingiberales, Musaceae. The record is from RefSeq and is a predicted model, not a curated record.
AUGAAGAGGAGGAGAAAAGAAGAUGAUUGACAACUGUGUCCUUGUAAAAGAGGAGGGUGGCGGGCUUGUGACAUCCUUCGCGAUACCUAACAUUGUUAAUAUUUUAGUGCACUAGAUUGGACCCCUUGAAAUUGGGUGGUUCGCACACAAACUAUAAGAAGAGGAGGAUCGACGAUGGUGCCCUCGUGAGAAGAGGAUAAUGGGCUCGCGACUUCCUCUGCGAGCCCUAACAUCAUCAGUAUUAUUAUUAUAAUAUAAUAUUUUAUUUUAUUUACAAAGAGUAAAUGGUGAAGGUGCGAUUCGAGCCCAGAAAUUAUUUCUUUUUUAACACACCAAAUCUAACCGCUUGACAUUGGAGUGGUCCACAUACUAGUUAGCAUCUUGACCAAUAAAUAUCAGUCCAUGCAUACCUGUCCAACAAAAUCGCAAACCUUGGAAUAUGCAUACAUAUUAUGUAGAAUAAGUAAUUUGAUUCUUUACUUCAUCAUGAAUGAGCUUGCAAAUUUAGAAUAAGGAUGAAAGGUAAGAUACAAUUAACCUAUUACAGUCCUAAUAUAUUAGGAAGACAACUAUACAUGUAAAUCCUAACUAUCCAAUUUAAAUUAGGAAUAUGACUAUUUAGGAAUAUAACUAUAUAGAAAUACAACUAUAUUCUGAUUAGGAAUACAUUCAUAUAGGGAUACAGCUUUCAUAUUAUAGGAAUACAACUCUCGUAGGAAUAUAGCUUUCAUAUUCAAGAAUUACGAGUUCGAUAUCCAUGUGAUUCUCCAACACUCUCCCUUAUGCGGUUACUCUUGUAGGAAUAUAGCUUUUGUAUUCAAGAAUUACAACUUCGAUAUCUAUGUGAUUCUCCAACACUCUCCGUUAUGCAGUUGUAAAUAUAUUUUGCAAUCCAUGCCUGUUAAGUAAUUUAUCAAACAUUGGAUCUGAUAAAGUUUUCGUCAAAGCAUCAACCAACUGUUAUAUGGAUGAAUUACAAGGAAUGCAAAUUUGUCCCCAUCCAAAUUCUCUUUGUUGAAAUGCUAUUUUAUUUCCACAUGUUUGGUUUUAUUGUCGUGAACCAACAAUACUUAAUAUAGUUCUAUUGUCACAACACAACAACAACAUAAGAUUACUUCCUUUGAUCUUCAAAGUCAUUACUAUUAUCUUUAGCUAAAUUAGUUCAUAAAUCCUUAUUUCCAUGGUCCUAAAUUCAGCUUUGCACUUGAUCGGGCCACCAUUGGUUGCGUCUUGCUCCUCAAGUGACCAGAUUUCGUCCUAAAAAUAUGUAGUAAUUGGAAAUUGAUCUUCUAUCUUCAAUAGAUCUAGUGUAAUUUGAGUCUAUAUAGGCUUCUACUUGUGGUUCUUGGGGAUGCUACAAUCUCCCCAUGAAUCAUUCAGGAAGAUGACUCUAUAGGAAUACAACAAUAUUCUACUUAGGAAUACAGACAUAUUGGGUUUGAAUAUUCUAGGAAUACAACACCCACGUGAAUAUAACUUCCACAUUCAGAAUUCAAUCAUCCGUAUCUAUUAUUCUCUAUCACUCCCCCUCAAGUAGUUGUAAAUAUGUUUUGCAAUCCAAACUUGUCAUGUUAUUUAUAGAAUAUUGGAUCUAGUAAAGUUUUUAUCAAAGCAACAACUAUCGAUUUUGUGGAUGAAUUUCAAGGCAUGCAGAUUUGUCUACCGUUCAACUUUACUUUAAUGAAAUGUCAUUUUAUUUCCACAUAUUUGGUUUUAUCAUGAUGAAUUAGAGUUGCGGGCAAUACUUCUAUUACUUCAUUGUCACAACACAACAACAUAGGAUUACUUAUUUUGAUCUUUUAAGUAGUACUUUUAGCUACAUUAGUUCACAAGCUUCGAUUACAAAACAUUUGCAACUAUUUGAGGGGGAGUGUUAGAGAAUCACACAGAUAUGGAAGUUGUAAAUGUUGAAUAUGGAAGCUAUAUUCCUAUGGCAAUUGUAUUCUUUGAAUAUAGAAGUUGUAUCUUUAUAUAACUCUAUUCCUAAUUAGAAUACAGUUGUAUUCCUUUAUAGUUAUCUUCCUAAAUAGUGGUAUUUCUAAUUUAAAUAGGAUAGUUGCCUAAGAAUUAUAUAUAUAGUUAUUUUCCUAAUAUAUUAGGAUUGUAAUUGAUUCCCCACAUUAAGGUUUGACGUUCUUGUCAUGGAUAUAACAGGUCCAGAAUCAAAGUGCAUGUGAGGCCCAAUAUUAUGGUGGCUCUGCGUUAUGACGUGCCCUUUAGUUCUAUUCACGGGUAGGAUUUUCCUAUUCGAGUAUUUUACCUAUCCAAUAUUAGGUCGGAUUUGAUAUCAUUUUUCAUGAUUAGAUUCAAUGAGAUAACUUUACAUAUCUAUUGAAAUUGAGUCACUGACCCAAAAUGCUUAAGCCCAAUAUAAUAGUAAUACACUUAUCUGAUUCUUAUAAAUCAAUUCAUAAUUUUAUGUAUUCUUAUGUGGAAUUAAACUUAGAAUGUUAUAGUAUUUCCUUUGCUCAAGCUUACCAUAGAGUUUCCAAGACAUAUCUCGAGUAUAUCUUGGUUUUGAGCAAUAGUCAUGUCACAAUUUUCUUUUUUCGUCCAUGGAUGGUUUCCUUGUAGCAUGCAAAAAAAAAUUUGAGAUUGCCAAGGUUAAGUUUUCUCAGAUUGAAUUCUUAUACAGACGAGCUUAACUUCCUACCUUCUUCUUCACGAACUAAGAGAAAUAUUUCUUUAAUAGAUGGGAGAAGGCCUCUGCCCAGGACUCUUUCACAAACUUCAUUAAACUUGGGAUUAAGGCUCAACCAGAAAAUUAAAAAUUCAUGUUCAUUCAAUCAUAUCUUUAAGCUUCUUUAUUUCAUUUUGAUACCCAGACAGAGAUCUAGUCCUAACCAAAGUCCCUUCAGAAUAACAUAGUAGUUGGUAACUGGUUAGUUACCUUAUUUAGUGGACAAUCUGCCUCUUCAAUUCAUAUUAUUGGUUAGCAGCACACUUCUUGGAGUAGGUUUAUGUGACUGCAUCCCAUAUGUCCUUUCUAUUUUCCAGCAGGAGAUUGUCUUGCUAAUCUCAUGUUGCAUGAAGUGCAAUAGCCAGGACAUCACCAUUGAACUUUUACAUCUGAGAUUUCAAAUUUUGGAUCAGAUGUCUUUGGUGCAGAAGAAGUGCCAAGAGAAUAACUCCAUUUAAUUCUAAAGUAUUUAUUUGUACGGUGGUAUUUUCAGAUGACUAUGUGUCCUGGAUUUGGUGUCGAGUUGGUUGAGGUGACUAUUUUUUAUGUUGCAAAGAUGCUUAAAAGAUUGGAAGGUUUGAAGAUCAAGAUUUAGAAAUGGCAAUGAGGGUCGAAACAAUGAUCAGCAAAGAAAGGACUGACCAGAAAUGUUGAUCAAGAACCAUUGGAACAUCUACAAACUACAAGUCUAAAUCUGGAGGUGCAAAGAAGAAAUGAUUGGAAAGCAAUAUCAGCACUCAAAACAUUGGAACCUGUCGACUGAGCAGGGUUAGAAGAGAAUGUAAUUUUUUGUUUCCUUGAGGGGUGGCCUAUCAAUGAAGUUGCAUGGGUCAUAGAAAGAUAAACUUCGCCAUGUUGCUCGAGCCUUAUACGAGGCUAUCACCAUCCUCUAGGUGAGCUAGCAGUGGCUUGAGGAUCUGGAUCUCAACCUUAUGUCUCAGGACAUGGAUCUUUGCAUCAACGUCUUCAGCCAUCGAGAAGCAUAGGAAGAAGGUUGCAAUGUACCUUGCUUUGUAAACGUCUCAGAGGAGCAGGUCAUUUGAGAAUAGGGGAGAAUUUGCCUUGGAAGUUCAAGCCUCGGGGCCUCGGCUUAGACAUUCGGGAUGCUUGAAGAGGAAAGGAGGGCCUUGGCACAAAACCUAUUUAACAAGUGUCGGUCGGGCCCUUUGCUCAGUCAUUAGUAUUGAGUCAGUGUCGAAGGGUAGAUGAAGCGCCACCCUUGAUCCGAGCGAGUGAAUGGGCUCCUUUGCCUUUUACGAGGGGGAAGUCUUCUUGAACUAUUGAAUCCUCUCACUUUGGGGGGGGAGUCGGUGAGGCAACCAACAAUAGCAACAAUAAUCACUAUCUGGUAGACCAAGGCCCUCGUCCUUGGCUCGCUUGGGCGAUCCAUCGCUCGUUAGUGGAUGUUAACCACGAAGUUGGAGGUUUAGGCUCUCCUUCUAGUGCUGCUAGUUGAUAAGUCAUCAUGUGUCAUCAUUGGUGUAAGUACGAGGGCUUGCGAGAAAUUGCUUGCUUUGGGUGAGUUGCAUAGUUUUGCUCUUUCGGGAUGAGCUCCAAUAUGGGUCUUUAGAGGAUGACUUUGGCAUUUAUAAGGUCUUUCUUUUCUUACUCCUUAAUUAAUGUGAACUAAAUAUGCUUAUCAUUAAUCUCAACGGGAGAGUUGAGGUUGUUAAUGUAUAUUAUGGUUGUUUGAUUAGGAUAUCGAUUUGGAGCUAAUUGAGUUCCAAUUCUAUACUUGUUAGAUUGGCAUUUGAAAGUGUCAAACCCAAUUGAUUCAUAAUGCACUAAACCUUGUGAAGCUAA